GAUAAGAACAACGGAAAAUGCGGUAGC
RNAcentral lists this non-coding RNA (27 nucleotides) under Bombyx mori (domestic silkworm). The record is from RNAcentral. Lineage: Eukaryota; Metazoa; Arthropoda; Insecta; Lepidoptera; Bombycidae.